Molecule: long non-coding RNA, 511 nt
Filed under: Olea europaea (common olive)
Lineage: Eukaryota; Viridiplantae; Streptophyta; Magnoliopsida; Lamiales; Oleaceae
Description: long non-coding RNA (OEUR_LNC005788)
Source: RNAcentral
AAAAUCUUAUUAAAAUGCAGUGAGAAGGUGGCACAAACAGGGGCUAUGUUGAAUUCUCGUAAAUCGUUUUCAUUGUCCAGUGGAUUCUACUUGCUAGCACACAUCCUGGAAAAUCGACAAGAAUCAUUAAUUUACUUAUGAAACUAUAAAGUGAGGAAAUCAGAUGGCAUCUUUCAAGUUGCAGCUGAAGCUUCGGACAUGUUGCCUCCAUCGAAAAUACUUUAUUCGAGAAAGUGAUAUGGAAGCAUUAAGACCAACUUCUUGACGAAUGCCAGCAAGCCCCGGUACGCAAUGGUAAUAUUAAAGCCAAGAUAAAAAUAUUAAAUAUCUUGGCAAAAGACGAAAUCGAAGGUGAUACUUGCACUUUCUUAGUGAAAUCUGAAAAACUACCUUGCAAAUUGGAGCUAUAUGGGUUACGAGUUGGUAAAAUAUCUGCUUCAGAUAUAAGUAACCAGGAAAGCUUGGUGGAUGGAUAUAUCCUGUUACCAUGCAACUAUUUUAACCAUCAAUU